RNAcentral lists this ribosomal RNA (253 nucleotides) under uncultured bacterium. Its description in RNAcentral is "partial 16S ribosomal RNA". It matches the Rfam family "Bacterial small subunit ribosomal RNA", at positions 524 to 776 of the family's 1533-position model. The record is from RNAcentral.
UACGUAGGGAGCAAGCGUUGUCCGGAUUUACUGGGUGUAAAGGGUGCGUAGGCGGCUUUGCAAGUCAGAAGUGAAAUCCAUGGGCUUAACCCAUGAACCGCUUUUGAAACUGCAAGGCUUGAGUGAAGUAGAGGCAGGCGGAAUUCCCGGUGUAGCGGUGAAAUGCGUAGAGAUCGGGAGGAACACCAGUGGCGAAGGCGGCCUGCUGGGCUUUAACUGACGCUGAGGCACGAAAGCAUGGGUAGCAAACAGG